UAUCCAUCUAGUUAUAACCUUUAAUCACAGCAAUAAAUUUCUGUUCUCUUACAGACAGAAAAGCAGAAGGCAGCUGACUAAGAGCUGAUGUACAAAGUACCUCAGUAACACUAAUAUCACCAAGGGCUCAGGAACAUUCUAUUAAACCUGUUAAUUGAUGAAAUUGUCCAGGUGUCCAAGGAUGAUGUACUAAUUAACUUAAAGAAUAGGAGGGGGAGAAAGAAGAAAUGCAUGGCAAAUUGCAGAAAAUAAAGGUAGAAAUUAAAUCCAGAUAUAGCACUGAUUUCUGGAAGGGGGACACUGGUUCGAGCCCUGGUCCGGGAAGAUCCCACGUGCCGCGAAGCAACUAAGCCCGUGCGCCGCAACUACUGAGCCUGCGCUCUAGAGCCCGCGAGCCACAACUACUGAGCCUGCGCGCCACAACUACUGAAGCCUGCGCGCCUAGAGCCCGUGCUCUGAAACAAAGAGAAGCCACCGCAAUGAGAAGCCUGUGCACCACAACGAAGAGUAGCCCUUGCUAGCUGCAACUAGAGAAAGCCCGCGCGCAGCAACGAAGACCCAACGCAGCCAAAAAUAAAUAAAUAAAAUAAAUAAAUUUAUUAAAAAAAUAAA
Physeter macrocephalus (sperm whale) is the source of this 612-nucleotide long non-coding RNA. RefSeq lists it as uncharacterized. The record is from RefSeq and is a predicted model, not a curated record. The transcript is spliced from 3 exons. NCBI's taxonomy places the organism in Eukaryota, Metazoa, Chordata, Mammalia, Artiodactyla, Physeteridae.